RNAcentral lists this ribosomal RNA (253 nucleotides) under uncultured bacterium. RNAcentral's name for it is "partial 16S ribosomal RNA". It matches the Rfam family "Bacterial small subunit ribosomal RNA", at positions 524 to 776 of the family's 1533-position model. The record is from RNAcentral.
UACAGAGGUCCCAAGCGUUGUUCGGAUUCACUGGGCGUAAAGGGUGCGUAGGUGGUGGGGUAAGUCUGAUGUGAAAUCUCCGAGCUCAACUCGGAAAUGGCAUUGGAAACUACCCCGCUUGAGGGUUGGAGGGGGGACUGGAAUACUUGGUGUAGCAGUGAAAUGCGUAGAUAUCAAGUGGAACACCAGUGGCGAAGGCGAGUCCCUGGACAACUCCUGACACUGAGGCACGAAAGCUAGGGGAGCAAACAGG